This 673-nucleotide ribosomal RNA is filed under the name Tricholoma saponaceum. RNAcentral's name for it is "eukaryotic LSU rRNA". It matches the Rfam family "Eukaryotic large subunit ribosomal RNA", at positions 1 to 653 of the family's 3401-position model. The record is from RNAcentral. Lineage: Eukaryota; Fungi; Basidiomycota; Agaricomycetes; Agaricales; Tricholomataceae.
UUGACCUCAAAUCAGGUAGGACUACCCGCUGAACUUAAGCAUAUCAAUAAGCGGAGGAAAAGAAACUAACAAGGAUUCCCCUAGUAACUGCGAGUGAAGCGGGAAAAGCUCAAAUUUAAAAUCUGAGGGUCCUUGCGGCCUUCCGAGUUGUAAUCUAGAGAAGUGUUAUCCGCGCUGGACCGUGUACAAGUCUCCUGGAACGGAGCGUCAUAGAGGGUGAGAAUCCCGUCUUUGACACGGACUACCAGGGCUUAUGUGAUGCGCUCUCAAAGAGUCGAGUUGUUUGGGAAUGCAGCUCUAAAUGGGUGGUAAAUUCCAUCUAAAGCUAAAUAUUGGCGAGAGACCGAUAGCGAACAAGUACCGUGAGGGAAAGAUGAAAAGAACUUUGGAAAGAGAGUUAAACAGUACGUGAAAUUGUUGAAAGGGAAACGCUUGAAGUCAGUCGCGUUGUCCAGAAAUCAACCUUGCUUCUGCUUGGUGUACUUUCUGGUUAACGGGUCAGCAUCAAUUUUGACCGGUGGAUAAAGGUCAGGGGAAUGUGGCAUCUUCGGAUGUGUUAUAGCCCUUGGUUGCAUACAUCGGUUGGGAUUGAGGAACUCAGCACGCCGCAAGGCCGGGUUUUUAACCACGUACGUGCUUAGGAUGCUGGCAUAAUGGCUUUAAUCGACCCGUC